This 604-nucleotide ribosomal RNA is filed under the name fungal endophyte. Its description in RNAcentral is "eukaryotic LSU rRNA". The stretch from base 238 to 391 matches the Rfam family "5.8S ribosomal RNA". The record is from RNAcentral. Lineage: Eukaryota; Fungi.
UGGAAGUAAAAAGUCGUAACAAGGUUUCCGUAGGUGAACCUGCGGAAGGAUCAUUAAAGAGUAAGGGUGCUCAGCGCCCGACCUCCAACCCUCUGUUGUUAAAACUACCUUGUUGCUUUGGCGGGACCGCUCGGUCUCGAGCCGCUGGGGAUUCGUCCCAGGCGAGCGCCCGCCAGAGUUAAACCAAACUCUUGUUAUAUAAACCGGUCGUCUGAGUUAAAAUUUUGAAUAAAUCAAAACUUUCAACAACGGAUCUCUUGGUUCUCGCAUCGAUGAAGAACGCAGCGAAAUGCGAUAAGUAAUGUGAAUUGCAGAAUUCAGUGAAUCAUCGAAUCUUUGAACGCACAUUGCGCCCCUUGGUAUUCCGAGGGGCAUGCCUGUUCGAGCGUCAUUACACCACUCAAGCUAUGCUUGGUAUUGGGCGUCCGUCCCUUCGGGGGCGCGCCUUAAAGACCUCGGCGAGGCCUCACCGGCUUUAGGCGUAGUAGAAUUUAUUCGAACGUCUGUCAAUGGAGAGGACUUCUGCCGACUGAAACCUUUUAUAUUUUUCUAGGUUGACCUCGGAUCAGGUAGGGAUACCCGCUGAACUUAAGCAUAUCAAUAA